This 910-nucleotide ribosomal RNA is filed under the name Virgibacillus proomii. RNAcentral's name for it is "bacterial SSU rRNA". It matches the Rfam family "Bacterial small subunit ribosomal RNA", at positions 1 to 881 of the family's 1533-position model. The record is from RNAcentral. Lineage: Bacteria; Bacillati; Bacillota; Bacilli; Caryophanales; Bacillaceae.
UAGAGUUUGAUCCUGGCUCAGGACGAACGCUGGCGGCGUGCCUAAUACAUGCAAGUCGAGCGCGGGAAGCAAGCAGAACCCCUUCGGGGGUGACGCAUGUGGAACGAGCGGCGGACGGGUGAGUAACACGUGGGCAACCUGCCUGUAAGACUGGGAUAACUCCGGGAAACCGGGGCUAAUACCGGAUAAUACGUUUCCUUGCAUAAGGAGACGUUAAAAGGCGGCGCAAGCUGUCACUUACAGAUGGGCCCGCGGCGCAUUAGCUAGUUGGUGGGGUAAAAGCCUACCAAGGCGACGAUGCGUAGCCGACCUGAGAGGGUGAUCGGCCACACUGGGACUGAGACACGGCCCAGACUCCUACGGGAGGCAGCAGUAGGGAAUCUUCCGCAAUGGACGAAAGUCUGACGGAGCAACGCCGCGUGAGUGAAGAAGGUUUUCGGAUCGUAAAACUCUGUUGUUAGGGAAGAACAAGUGCCGUUCAAAUAGGGCGGCACCUUGACGGUACCUAACCAGAAAGCCCCGGCUAACUACGUGCCAGCAGCCGCGGUAAUACGUAGGGGGCAAGCGUUGUCCGGAAUUAUUGGGCGUAAAGCGCGCGCAGGCGGUCUUUUAAGUCUGAUGUGAAAGCCCACGGCUUAACCGUGGAGGGCCAUUGGAAACUGGAGGACUUGAGUACAGAAGAGGAGAGUGGAAUUCCACGUGUAGCGGUGAAAUGCGUAGAGAUGUGGAGGAACACCAGUGGCGAAGGCGACUCUCUGGUCUGUAACUGACGCUGAGGUGCGAAAGCGUGGGUAGCGAACAGGAUUAGAUACCCUGGUAGUCCACGCCGUAAACGAUGAGUGCUAGGUGUUAGGGGGUUUCCGCUCCCUUAGUGCUGCAGUUUACGCAUUAAGCACUCCGCUUGGGGAGU